UACGUAGGGGGCUAGCGUUGUCCGGAAUCAUUGGGCGUAAAGCGCGUGUAGGCGGCCCGGUAAGUCCGCUGUGAAAGUCGGGGGCUCAACCCUCGGAUGCCGGUGGAUACUGUCGGGCUAGAGUACGGAAGAGGCGAGUGGAAUUCCUGGUGUAGCGGUGAAAUGCGCAGAUAUCAGGAGGAACACCAAGUGCGAAGGCAGCUCGCUGGGACGUUACUGACGCUGAGACGCGAAAGCGUGGGGAGCAAACAGG
Molecule: ribosomal RNA, 253 nt
Filed under: uncultured bacterium
Lineage: Bacteria
Description: partial 16S ribosomal RNA
Rfam family: Bacterial small subunit ribosomal RNA
Source: RNAcentral